CUCAGCCUAAAGGUGGUAUUGAAAUACCAAACUGGAACUUUGCUCCAUCAAGAAACCUUAGCCUUUCAAGGGUGUUGUCAGGACAACAGUAGAAUGUCUUCAGCCCUUUGUUUACUGACUCAAGGAAGAUUGCCCGGAGCCUUGGACGCAUGCAGAAUCAUGGAAGGACAUUUUUUGCUCAUGAGGACUACCAAAAGUCUGCAUCCAGGUUUGGGCAGCAGAUGCUAAAGUGCUUCACAAACCUCCCUCAGAUUUUCUUUGGAAGGACCUGGAGAGAUUUAGGACAAGCCUUGACUGUGCUACCAUUCUCUGUGAGCCUGGUGGUCAGGCUGUGGCUUGGUACACUCCUCUCUACUGGAACAGAAUGCAAGGAUAGAUGGCGAAAGAAGAAAGUGAAAACUUUGAGAAUAUGGUUAUACCAACUUUCUCGGCAGAGGGAUGGGAAAAGAAACAGCAAUUCACAAUAACUGUCACAGAGUGGAAGAGGGCUGACCCAUGCCAAACAGGAAAAAGAAGACAAAGCUUCAUUAAAAGUUUCUUCUCACAGCCCAAUGGACUGUCUUGCACUCCCCCUGGAAAACCGCUGCUCUAUAGAACUGCAUAUGUUGGAGUACCAGCCUCAGAAAAACUUUUCAGCUUGGGCCAGGAAAGGGUUUAUGCACCUGCUUGGCUUUGCACACCCAAAGAGUAAUCCUGCGGCCAGGAGGACUGUCAGGAAGAUCCUUCUCAACUGUUCAAUCCAGGCAAAGCAGAUUAAAACCUGAUGGAGUCAGUUGUAAUAGACCUAAUUUCACGGUUUGUUUCCUGCUCUGUCUUAAUCACUGGUAGCAUCAGCUAACGGAUGUCUUUUUGUGUAAUCCUGGUUUGUCUAAUUUGCUAAAAGUUAGCUUGUCCUUUUUUGUGUAAAUCUGGUCUUCUGCAGAGCUGGGUCCUCCAUAUCUGGUUUUUCUGGACAGGGAAACUCUGGUGACAGAAAGGGAAUCGGCACCUGCCAGCUGCAAGUGCUGGUGGCAUCAGAGGUCGUGUUCACAUUAGCAAAUGCUGGGGACAAAUGAGAACAGGUCUGCAGAGCAAACCCCUUGGUGCUGCAGACCUGGCAUCCACCCUGUACACGCUUCAAAGGUGAUUUACUUUGCCCCAGCUCUAGGCUGGUACAACAGCCCAUGAGGGGGGCACCUACCUCUUGCACAGUGUAGGUGCUUUUUGGGUAUGAAACUUCCCAGUCUGCUGUGUAGCCCACUCAUGCUCACCACUGAACUGCACAAAGUGGCUUCUGUCCAAAUACCCACUUGCAGCCAGAGUGCUUGAGGUUUGACUCCAGAGGACAUCUUCUGGCUGGGUUUCACUCAAGAGGAAGCCAGCCUGUGCACUUGAUAGUGCUCCAUGAUGUGAACAUGAGCACAGCAAGUGGGGUGAGUAGCAGCUCCACUCCAUGGGUGCACUCCUCUUCGGACCCAAACACACACAGGACAUUCCCCAGUGCUUCUCCCAAGCCAAAGGGAGUUUGCGGCACACGGUCAUGUUUCUUACAUUCCCAUCUUUUGUCACAUCUCUGCAGAUGUAGGUUUAGUUCUAUUGCCAUGAGCUACAUUUGGUUUCAGUUUUCAAGUUUUUUUCCUUGCGACUGUUAAGACUAAAAACUUUUUUCAGUAAAGCAAGCAAUAUGAAACGAAAACAAAACACCUCUGAGAUGGUAAUGCAGUCACAUUGUUCCAGGACCCAGGGCUGCGGGCACAGAGGGAGGACCUUUCUGCAAAUCUAUUUCCUGAGUAAGGGAACUCUGAAGGCAGAACUCAAAGAAGGUGGUCUGCCGUGCAUUAAAUAUAUCUAAUUUUCUGUAGGUUUCCACAAGCAAUCUGCAUACCCUCAGUCUCUCUCAGAUAUUUGCAGAAGAUAAUUCAGCUCUAUUUACUUAUGGUUCAUUUGCAGUUCUUUCCACUACUGAAUUAUGAAAUUAUUCCCCUUAAUACUGCCAGGAAAGUUAAUAAUAUCCAAGAUCUCAGAUUAAAAAUUAAAUAUGGGUAUAACCAUUAUUUUUCUCUGAUAAAUAUUCAUGUGUAGUACAUAUUACUGCCAGAUUUUUCCAGAAAUGAAUAUAGAGAGAGACGUAAGCAUCAUUCUUAUUUUAUUACAACACAGAAAUUACAAGUGCUUCAAGGAGAUUUAUACAAGUACUCUGCUAGACGUUAUUACUGAUAGUGGUGGAAUUAUGGUUUUCAGAUAUAUGAUGGAAUGAUGAUUUUGAAAUGUAUGACUGCUUCCUUUUUUUCUUUUUUAUUUUGCUUUUGUUGCUUAAAAAAAUUUAACUAGUAGGCUUAUAAUUGACAUGAACAACUGGGGUACAUAAUAAUAGGCAUAAAUGUAGUCUUGCUUAGGUCCUGAUGCAAGAAAGCUUCCCUAUUCAGCAAGGAGUCUUCAACUUGUUCAUAAAUGCUUCAUAAUAUCAGAGACUUAGAGAAAUCAGUAUUGUUAACUUAUUUGUUUUCCUCUGCAAAUACAUUUUUAAUCACUAUUAUCUUUAAAUAUGGAUGGUUAUUUUCCUAAUGGCAUAAUACAGCAAAUUUAGGUCAAUGCCUUCAAAUCAAAUUAGUGAUUCAAAGUAUUUUUGCAUUUCUCUUUUAGUUAUGUAGUUCUUCUUUUCAAAAUAAGCUUAGCAUAUGCUCAUAUUUCAGAAGUACAAAGACCCACUCAAAACUGCAAAGAGAUGGGCCUCACAGAUUGUACUGUUUAAUGGUAUUUGCUUAUCAGUUUAAAGUAUUUAGUUUCACAUAUAUCUGUUGUAUCUUUUCUAGUUCCUAGCUCUCCUCUAUAAUAAUCAAACAUUAUAUUUUCAUUGUCUUUUGGGUGGCGUGUAAACAGCAGCCAUCCACAACAUUCCAGUACAGAACAAACUAUGUUCACUGGCAUUAUGGUGUUAUGAGAGCUGCUUGCCUCUCCUCUCCUCAUGCAGCUCAGCAUUUUACCUUCCUAGUUGUAAUAGAAGAGGAUUUUCACUACCCAGUUCCAGUGACUCCUGCGGCUUUACUUCAGAGUCACUGCGGUUGAUAAGACAAUGGUAGGGUGUAUGGUGGCUUUUCCUUCCAGCACGUACGCAUCCACACGUACUUCUUACUGGCACCUUACUGCUUGUCCACUUUGCCUUCUGAGUCCAUCCUGAAGCUCUGCUGAGCAGUCUUCUCUGGUGCUGACACCAAAAGACCUCACAAGUUAUUUACAAAUAGGUUCACUUCAUCUCUUGCUCUCUUUAUAAUCUUUUGUAUUUAUCGUUGAACUCUUUGGUUUCCUCUUCACCCAAGUAUCCCCCUUUUCUUUUGAGACUGAGAGACAGGAUUAGAAAAGCUGCUGUCAUAGGUCACAAAAUUCAUGCUGGGCUCCUGCCUCCCAUUUUCCACAGAAAUGUAUCACUCCACUGAUGGCUUUUUUGUUGUUCUUGUUGUUGUUAUUGAUGGUGAAUUUCACUAUGAAUCAAAAUGCUCAGCUGUGAAUUUUGUUUAAAAAUAACUGCGGAGUGUAUUGUGAAGUGAGCACUUUGAAGCCUCAGCCAAAACCAACAAGUUUUGUCAAUCAGAAUGUUUCCCUGUUGCCAAGGAAUGCUAAUUAAGCUUGCAGUGGCAAAUUGAACCUGCAGACAAGGAACAUAUUUAGCAUACAUUUUCAGUGAAAAGAAGCCAAUUCCUGCCACUAUCUUCUCUAGCAAGUGGAUCAAGCGUGUUAGCUUUUUGUUCUUCCCAAUGGUUCUCAUGGCUUUUGUCACAGAAACUGAGAGUUGAACGAGAUGAGAUGCACCCAUAUCAUGAUGCUUUGUUUUCUUGACUUGUCCCAAGGACUUCUCUACGGGACUGCCCAUGUAAUUUCAAUUAGCAGCGAGAAAUGGUUGCAGAUUCCUCUCUUUGUUCAUAGGGCACUGACACAUUAUGGGCAACACCAAGCAAUUACAUUGGCUGUUAUAAACUAUGCUACACAAACACACAGAUGCGCUUUUUUAAGUAGAAAAAGGUCACACAAGUUAUUCCAGUGAUAUCCCAUCAUGAGAAACUAAGGUGCUUUGUCCAGUAGACCAGUUGACCAAUGUGGAUCAAUGAACUGUUCCUAUCAUUACUAAGACCUGAAGCAAAGCAUCUCAGCCGGCUCAACACAGUUCACUCUGGUUGACAGCCAGGUGCUCCAGUAGUCUUCACCUUUGUGUGCAUUUAUGUGCCCUCUGCCAGUUCGAAUUCCUCUGUAGCCUUCAAAAUCUUAGAAUAGCUUUUUGAUUUCUCACUGAUGCUGUUAUUUAUCUGGAAUUCCAAGGUUCUGUGGUGCUGCAGAAGAUGAUAGUCCAGUAAAGGAGACCACUCUGGUGGCAGAAAGCUGUCAAAAUAUCCUGACUUUGUUUAUUAGGUACCAAAUGCUAUACUAUCAUUUCAUGAGAAACACAGCAAUUCCGGUUUCUUUAUUGCCUCUUUCUCAGCUGUGAUAUCUUAUGACCUGAGAAUGUAUUUCCCUACCUGCCAGGCAGGAUGCCAGUCCGUCAAAAUAAUUUCCUUAUCUGUUUGUUGCUUACUGCUUAAAAAACACUGAUGUAAUGUGCAUUUGUGUAUUUUCAGUGCUCCAGGAAAAAAAAAAACAAACCAAACCACAUGUUUUUAUGACCUAGAAUUUUGGAGGAGAGGAAAACUGGGGAAAAUCAAGGGGAUAAAUAAUAAUUCUUUGUGGCCAAAUGUGGAAAUUGUGAAAGGACUUAAAGAUUACUGCCCACAUCUUCAAAUAAUAUAAACAAGCACAGCUCUUGCAAUUUACCUCCUUCCAUCAUGGUCAAAUAAGUUACAUUAUGAAUACUUCAGUGCCACCGAAAGCAAAUCAAAGAUUUGUCCAUGGUUCUGUUGAGAGAGAGAAGGGGUGGCAUUCAACAAGAGGCUUUCUUAAGACUUCAGGAAACCCAGAUACCUCUGUGGGUGAUGGUAAGGUAUGUGUAGCAGGCUCUCCCAUGAACUGCCUCAGCAAGCCAGUAGCGCCGACCUGCUUGUUGUUCAUUAGCAUCACUUACCAGACAAAACAUCAUCACUAUGCUGAGGUGUGCUGACACAUUAUGCACUUGCAAACUCCGGUUGCCACUGAGAGGCAAAUCUGGAGAGCUGCAGUGCCUUUGAGAUGUGAACACUUCCAAGCACACAAGUGCCCGGAAAUAUCAGCAGAUCUGCCUGAAUGAAAAGUACAUUUAUUGCCCUUUGCUUCUCUUGCAAGCUGAUCGCGAUGGGUAAAACUGUGGUUGCAAGUGUCAGGUCAGCCUGUGAAAAAGCAAUUCUCUCCUGGAUAAUUUUGGCAGAACAACUUGACCUUCAAGAAACCACGACUAAGGAUGACCCUUUAUUUUCUUGUCGCCCAUUACAGCACAUAGUCUGUGACCGAGUCAUAUAAUGGAGUGAUAAAAUGAAGUCCAGAGAUUCACUUUUGAAAAUUGCUGUCAUCUAAUAACAAUACCCAGCACUUAUGAAAUCUCCAAGUGAGCUUGCUUAAAGCUGGUGUUCAUGUCAGUAGAAAUGUGGUCAUUUAAAAGCCGAUUCUAUGGUAAAAGUAUGUCCAGGGAUGAGACUACUUUUGAACACAGCUCAAGAAACUGACAGAAAUCCAGGGUCAAGAAGUGAAAAACUUGUUCCCUCCUUGCCAGGAAUUAAUGGAGAACUGCAGGCAGUGAAAACAAGGAGCCAAAGAUGUGAUGAUUUUUGCAGUGAGACUUGUGAAGAUGAAAUAAGGCAGAUAGUCUGAGAGCGUCAGCUAGAAGGAAAGUGACAGUGAGGUGGAAAAUGAUGUGAUUUCCAUUCACAUUCAAAGGCUGCUAGAGGUUUGGAGAAGUACAUGUUGAUCAUGGGCAGCCAUCACAACUGUGAUUUUGGCCAACCAAUGCUUGCUGAAAUCCAAUUCAACAGAAUGUCUGCAAGAGACAUUUAAAAUAAAGGUGUCUUAGUGACAGCAAGUGACCUUGCCUGUGAUUGUGUAUUUAUCCCAAUGUGGCUUUUAUUUAAAAUGUUCUUUCAGAAGGUCAGAGGAAACAGAGUUCUUUUGUUGUUAGCGUGCUUGUUUCCUAAACCGACUUCCUUUUUAAAGUAGGUAUGUGGAAAUAAUGACUGUUGUCGUCAACAGACACUCUGUACGCAGGAUCUAGCCAGAAGAAAAAUCCUUCAGUUCCCAGCUAUGUGAGUGGGGAAGGCAGAAGACAACCAACUCGGUCAGCAGGGGAGGAGGAAAUUCACAUCUAGUGAAGAGCAGGAUUUCCUGGUGUGUGGUAUCCAAUCACCAGCCGUUAGGAGCAAGGAGACACGGCAACUUCUAAGGCACCUGGUUGGCUUAAAAAAGAAUGACUUGUUGGACCUCAAACUUAAACUUUCAACUUUUCAAGAUAAGAGAAGAGGCAUCUAUCUGGUUCAUGUGUUUCCUAAGUAGGGGAAAAAAAAAAAGGAACAAACCAUACCAUAAUAAACGUGUCUGUUGCUUGGUACUCAUCACA
This is an RNA transcript of Columba livia (rock pigeon), 6484 nucleotides long. RefSeq lists it as uncharacterized. The record is from RefSeq and is a predicted model, not a curated record. NCBI's taxonomy places the organism in Eukaryota, Metazoa, Chordata, Aves, Columbiformes, Columbidae. The transcript has 6 exons.